GGGGAAUUAGCUCAAGUGGCAGAGCGCUCGCUUAGCAUGCGAGAGGCACCGGGAUCGAUGCCCGGAUUCUCCA
Molecule: transfer RNA, 73 nt
Filed under: Romanomermis culicivorax
Lineage: Eukaryota; Metazoa; Nematoda; Enoplea; Mermithida; Mermithidae
Also listed under: 1 other name
Rfam family: tRNA
About the family: Transfer RNA (tRNA) molecules are approximately 80 nucleotides in length.
Source: Rfam by way of RNAcentral